This 86-nucleotide transfer RNA is filed under the name Vibrio phage 1.081.O._10N.286.52.C2. RNAcentral describes it as "tRNA-Ser". Lineage: Duplodnaviria; Heunggongvirae; Uroviricota; Caudoviricetes; Pantevenvirales; Straboviridae. The record is from RNAcentral.
CAGAGAUAGUGGGAGUCGAACCCACACAGCGCUAUUAACACCGGACGCCUUAGCAGGGCGUUGACAUACCGUUAGUCCAUAUCUCU